GUGGGGAAUAUUGCGCAAUGGGGGAAACCCUGACGCAGCAACGCCGCGUGGGUGAUGAAGGCCUUCGGGUCGUAAAGCCUUGUCGGGUGGGACGAAUGGCCGCGGACGAAUAAUCCGUUGGCUUUGACGGUACCGCCAAAGGAAGCACCGGCUAACUCCGUGCCAGCAGCCGCGGUAAUACGGAGGGUGCAAGCGUUGUUCGGAAUUACUGGGCGUAAAGAGCUUGUAGGCGGCCUGUUAAGUCUGAUGUGAAAGCCCUCGGCUCAACCGAGGAAGUGCAUUGGAUACUGGCAGGCUUGAGUAUGGGAGAGGAGAGCGGAAUUCCCGGUGUAGAGGUGAAAUUCGUAGAUAUCGGGAGGAACACCAGUGGCGAAGGCGGCUCUCUGGACCAAUACUGACGCUGAGAAGCGAAAGCGUGGGGAGCAAACAGG
RNAcentral lists this ribosomal RNA (431 nucleotides) under uncultured bacterium. RNAcentral's name for it is "bacterial SSU rRNA". It matches the Rfam family "Bacterial small subunit ribosomal RNA", at positions 354 to 776 of the family's 1533-position model. The record is from RNAcentral.